This 279-nucleotide ribosomal RNA is filed under the name Faecalibacterium prausnitzii. Its description in RNAcentral is "partial 16S ribosomal RNA". It matches the Rfam family "Bacterial small subunit ribosomal RNA", at positions 498 to 776 of the family's 1533-position model. Lineage: Bacteria; Bacillati; Bacillota; Clostridia; Eubacteriales; Oscillospiraceae. The record is from RNAcentral.
UAUGGGUGUGCCAGCAGCCGCGGUAAAACGUAGGUCACAAGCGUUGUCCGGAAUUACUGGGUGUACAGGGAGCGCAGGCGGGAAGGCAAGUUGGAAGUGAAAUCCAUGGGCUCAACCCAUGAACUGCUUUCAAAACUGUUUUUCUUGAGUAGUGCAGAGGUAGGCGGAAUUCCCGGUGUAGCGGUGGAAUGCGUAGAUAUCGGGAGGAACACCAGUGGCGAAGGCGGCCUACUGGGCACCAACUGACGCUGAGGCUCGAAAGUGUGGGUAGCAAACAGG